RNAcentral lists this ribosomal RNA (405 nucleotides) under uncultured prokaryote. RNAcentral describes it as "bacterial SSU rRNA". It matches the Rfam family "Bacterial small subunit ribosomal RNA", at positions 355 to 774 of the family's 1533-position model. The record is from RNAcentral.
UGGGGGAUAUUGCACAAUGGGCGAAAGCCUGAUGCAGCAACGCCGCGUGAGGGAAGACGGUUUUCGGAUUGUAAACCUCUGUCUUCGGUGAAGAAACAAAUGACGGUAGCCGAGGAGGAAGCCACGGCUAACUACGUGCCAGCAGCCGCGGUAAUACGUAGGUGGCAAGCGUUGUCCGGAAUUACUGGGUGUAAAGGGAGCGCAGGCGGGGAGACAAGUCAGCUGUGAAAACUAUGGGCUUAACCCAUAAACUGCAGUUGAAACUGUGUUUCGUGAGUGGAGUAGAGGGAGGCGGAAUGCCGAGUGUAGCGGUGAAAUGCGUAGAUAUUCGGAGGAACACCAGUGGCGAAGGCGGCCUACGGGGCUCUAACUGACGCUGAGGCUCGAAAGUGUGGGGAGCAAACA